CCGAGAUAUUUUUCCUGCGAUAUUCGCAAAAUAACCGCGAGAUAAAUCUUCAUGUGGGGUUAAACAUCUCUACGUCAAUGGAGGAAAUGGAGUUGGGGUACAAAGGUUAGAUAAACCAACUCAUUUUCUACAAAAAAGGUACUCAUAAGAUUCAAUACGUUUAUCGGUUUUCCAGAAAAUUUAAUUUUAAAAAUUUGAGGUAUAUCUUUUACCAAAAAAUCAAGUAACAGAAUUUUCUAUUUGCCUAGUUUGUAAAAAUAUAUAAUUGAAAUUCACAAGAACAAUUUUAAAACAAACUUUCCAAAAUGAUGUUUCUUGAAACAUUUUAUCAACACUUUUGAAAACUGAGGAAACAUUUACGUCAUAUUUGUUUCUUUCUCUUUCCGAUGUUUUAGUUUUAACAAACGUUUUAAAAAUAAAACAAAAAAAAAUUCUGGCUCUUGAUGACGAGUCUAAAAGAUCAAAGUAUAUUAUAUAAACAGUUGAUAUUAGGCAAUGUUUGAUACCAAAAAUAGUUUUUUUAUAAUUAACUUAUUGCAAUAUUCGGCGUUUUUAACCCAAGGAACAUCAUAAUUUUUUGCGCACUAAAUUUAUCUGAUCAAUUAAUUAUACAAUAUAUACGGAAUGUUUUAUUUAUUGUUAUUUAUUAUUGUUUAAUUUUACAUACCUAUUACUUUAGAUUUAAGUUUAUGUUUUUUACUAUAUUUUCAUUUACUAUAUUGUUGUAUAUUAUAUAUGUAACAUUAUUUCAGUAGAUACCUUUUAUAAACCAAUAAAUAAACGAUCUAACCAUGCACGUCGUUUAGAUUGAAAGAAACUUCUUCCAUCUACAGACAGAUCACAUGAUGGCGAUCUUAUUUCAUAUUCCUUUGUUCUCGCUAGCAGCAUAUCAUAGAGCACACUUUGCCCUCACCAGAAUUUAUCUGGAUUGAAUGUUAGUAAUCCGUAACACGGUAUUUUUCGUGGUGAUAAAGCACAGUAAUUUAAUCAUGCACAGUUUGAAUGUAAUUUGUAAUUAGUGAUAUCAGAAAGAAUAUUCCAAUGUUGAUAUAAUUUGUUAUUAGCGGGUAAUAUUACAUCAGCAUAAAAUUAUCUUAGUAUUUCUUUUAUUAAAGUAGAUGUUAAAAAUUAAAUUUUAAAGCCUGAUGAAAAUAAUAUACAUUUAGUUGU
Molecule: long non-coding RNA, 1170 nt
Organism: Anthonomus grandis grandis
Lineage: Eukaryota; Metazoa; Arthropoda; Insecta; Coleoptera; Curculionidae
Exons: 2
Source: RefSeq, a predicted model, not a curated record